AUUGGCUUGUGUUGGCUCGUUGGAUCCCUGCUCAGGCAGCGACAAUGUUCCACUCACGCUUCUUCGGUUGUUGGUUCGAGCAUGUCUUGUCCGUUGUUGGUUUCUUGUGCUGAAUACCUACUGGAAAGGUAUUUUUUGGUUGCGAAUAGUAAGAUUUCAUCUUGUGCCGUUCUCCUUGGGGAUGCGGUGUCGGAUGGAACCGAAAGCAUGCUUUGUGUUCCACAUCUCUUGUGCAGCCUUGUGCUCGAGUUGAUGGUCCAUGUUGUGGUGCGCGAUAUCUCGGGUAUGGAAGAUUGUGCGGGCACGAGGCCUUCGGCUAUUGUCUUGUCCAAACUAUAAGCGUUUUACGCUUCGUGGGAAUGACUUCCGUGGGCGUGUUGAUUGAGUCAUUUUGGCUCAACUCAUGCGCCAACGGUGUCUGUCGGGAA
RNAcentral lists this unclassified non-coding RNA (428 nucleotides) under Chloropyron maritimum subsp. canescens. RNAcentral describes it as "partial external transcribed spacer". Lineage: Eukaryota; Viridiplantae; Streptophyta; Magnoliopsida; Lamiales; Orobanchaceae. The record is from RNAcentral.